GCCCCACCUAGUAUGGUGGUUUUGACACUCGACUAGUAAUCGAGUGAGCACGGGUUCGAAUCCCGAGUAAGGCA
RNAcentral lists this transfer RNA (74 nucleotides) under Trichonephila clavata. RNAcentral describes it as "tRNA-Thr". Lineage: Eukaryota; Metazoa; Arthropoda; Arachnida; Araneae; Nephilidae. The record is from RNAcentral.